ACGCACGCUGGCGGCGUGCCUAAUACAUGCAAGUUGAGCGCUGAAGGUUGGUACUUGUACCAACUGGAUGAGCAGCGAACGGGUGAGUAACGCGUGGGGAAUCUGCCUUUGAGCGGGGGACAACAUUUGGAAACGAAUGCUAAUACCGCAUAAAAACUUUAAACACAAGUUUUAAGUUUGAAAGAUGCAAUUGCAUCACUCAAAGAUGAUCCCGCGUUGUAUUAGCUAGUUGGUGAGGUAAAGGCUCACCAAGGCGAUGAUACAUAGCCGACCUGGGAGGGUGAUCGGCCACAUUGGGACUGAGACACGGCCCAAACUCCUACGGGAGGCAGCAGUAGGGAAUCUUCGGCAAUGGACGAAAGUCUGACCGAGCAACGCCGCGUGAGUGAAGAAGGUUUUCGGAUCGUAAAACUCUGUUGGUAGAGAAGAACGUUGGUGAGAGUGGAAAGCUCAUCAAGUGACGGUAACUACCCAGAAAGGGACGGCUAACUACGUG
This 496-nucleotide ribosomal RNA is filed under the name uncultured bacterium. Its description in RNAcentral is "partial 16S ribosomal RNA". It matches the Rfam family "Bacterial small subunit ribosomal RNA", at positions 29 to 507 of the family's 1533-position model. The record is from RNAcentral.